GAUGAACGCUGGCGGCAUGCCUAACACAUGCAAGUCGAUCGGUAAGGCUCUUCGGAGUACACGAGAGGCGGACGGCUGAGUAACGCGUAGGAACACACCCUGCAGUGAGGGAUAAGACACCGAAAGGUGUUCUAAUACCGCAUACGGUCUUCGGAUUAAAGCAUUUCUGCGCUGAAGGAGUGGCCUGCGUCAUAUUAGAUAGUUGGUGAGGUAAUGGCUCACCAAGUCGAUGAUGUGUAGCUGGUCUGAGAGGAUGAUCAGCCAGACUGGAACUGAGACACGGUCCAGACUCCUACGGGAGGCAGCAGUGAGGAAUAUUUCACAAUGAGCGAAAGCUUGAUGGAGCAAUGCCGCGUGCAGGAUGAAGGCCCUCGGGUUGUAAACUGCUUUUAUAAGAGAAGAUUAUGACGGUAACUUAUGAAUAAGGGACGGCUAACUACGUG
RNAcentral lists this ribosomal RNA (443 nucleotides) under uncultured bacterium. Its description in RNAcentral is "partial 16S ribosomal RNA". It matches the Rfam family "Bacterial small subunit ribosomal RNA", at positions 28 to 507 of the family's 1533-position model. The record is from RNAcentral.